Molecule: non-coding RNA, 742 nt
Organism: Ictidomys tridecemlineatus (thirteen-lined ground squirrel)
Lineage: Eukaryota; Metazoa; Chordata; Mammalia; Rodentia; Sciuridae
Source: RefSeq, a predicted model, not a curated record
UCUACCAGGACCCACCAAAGCCACUGUACCUAGGAGUAAGAGAGAAAUAAAGUAACUCCUGAAGCCACCGAAAGGAAGAUUUCAACAAUCUCAGUCCCCACAGCUGGACCAAGGUUAUCUAGGACAACUAGUGCCCCCAGACGUCUGGAAGGAGUAAAAUCCUCUGCCAAAGAGACAAGCUGUUCUGCUCCACAAUGCACUGCCACCAUUAUGUGCCACCACAGCCCCAAAGCAUGAGAGCCAAUCAUGGAUCAAAGCCUCCAGAACUGUCAGCCAAAAUCAACCUCUUCUCAGAUCCUUGUAAGCGUGACUGGUGUGGUACAGGGAGCACUAACGUGAAGGGCACUCUGCAACUCAGCCACUUUAGAAAACCUUGGUCACCACAUGCUGUGGUUGAAGGUAGGCAUGUUCUAGUAUCCAGCAAUUCUGCUUCUAGGUGGAACAGAAAUGCACAUUCAUAUCAACAGGAUUUGUUACAGUAUCAACCUGGAAACAGUCUUCAUGUCCAUUAAUGGCAGGAUGAAACAAUAUAUUCUGGUUAUUUAAUACAACCAACACCAAUGCCAAAGUGAAAAUGAAUAUAUUAUUGAUACAUGUAAGUACGUAUGUGAACUUCUCAAGCACAAGGUGAAGAUGCAUGAAAAACUGUAAGAUUUCCACUUAUAAAAAUUCCAAAUGAAGCCAAACUUACUGCAUUGUGUAGAAAUGAUUACUGAAGAAUGAUAAAGAAAAUUGUACUUGC